UUUUUUUUUUUUUUUACAGAAACAGAAGAUCACUGCUUUAACAGUAAGUCCUUGUUCACAACAAACCAAAUACAAGCAAAUUCAUUUAGGUGGGAUCUAAUACUCACAUAGACAAACACUAAGUUGGAAAAAAAAAAAUGAGCACUUAAUGAACGUGGACACACAACCAUAAGUCAUCAUUAAAACACAAGCACUUCGAGAAUGGGAUAAGCAAACAAGGAAAACACUGCUAGUCUAGUCUACUAUGUCAUUGCUGCAGCUGCUGCUAAUGUAGUUUCUUGUUCUUGUUGCUGCUGCUGGGGCUGCUGUAGUUGCUCGCUUUGCCAAACCCAAACAAUAUCUUGGAGAGCAGGCUUUAUAUCCUCUUUCAAUACCUUCUGAUAUUCCAUUGUAUCUCCGCUAGAUUUCUUCACCUCUACCAAAUAAAAAUUCGGAGUGACCUCAAAGAUCUCUGCAUCAAUGGAUAAGGGCCCUUUUCUACCCUCCUGUAGUCCUUCCAUUUUCAGCAAACCUGCUUCCUUCUUCAUGAUCUUCAGCCUUAGACGCUUGGCAACAUCUUCAAGUUUAGAUAUGAUGACCGAUGCAGGUUGCACAGAAGUAAAUCUUGCUUCUCUCAGUUGAGAAUUUUCAUCAAAUAAUCCAGAGAGAUUAAACCCAGCUGAAAGAGAAAUGAUAUCAAAAGCAUUUAACUUUGGAGGUUCGACUGACUCAUGCUUUGCCUCCAAAGACAUGCUGCUAUUCUCAGAAGGGCCAGAACCAUUCCUGUCCAAAACAUCCUGACUUUCUGUUUCAGUUUUCUUCUGUUUAGAGUUCAAUCCUUUUCUAUACCAAGAACUUUCUUUUAUCUUAUCCAUGGAAAUCCUAGUAGUGGGGCUUGGAUCAAGCAUCUUAAACAGCAGCCUACGAGCUUCAUGAGGAAACCAAUUAGGGCAUUUGAACUCAGCUUUGCCAAUUUUUCUGUACAUCUCCAUCAAGUUUGAAUCAUGAAAUGGAAGAUACCCUGCCAGUAGAACAAAUAAAACCACACCACAAGACCAUAUAUCAGCUUUCGCCCCAUCAUAGCCUUUCCUGUUGAUCACUUCCGGAGCUACGUAUGCAGGUGUCCCACAAGUUGUAUGGAGUAGUCCAUCUUGGUGUUUGGAUUCAGCAAGUGCACUUAACCCAAAGUCACUUAUCUUUAGAUUCUCAUUCUCAUCCAACAAUAGGUUUUCUGGCUUUAUGUCUCGAUGAUAAACACCCCUGCUGUGGCAGAAAUCAACUGCAUUGAUCAACUGUUGAAAAUACUUGCAUGCAACAUCCUCCUUUAGCUUUCCUUUAGCAACCUUGUUAAAGAGUUCACCACCUUUACAAUACUCCAUUACAAAGUAAAUCUUACUUUUGGUUGCCAUGACCUCAUAAAGCUGCACAAUAUUAGGGUGUCUAACAAUUCUCAUCACAGAUAUUUCCCUCUUGAUCUGAUCAACAAGCCCUACCCUUAAAAUCUUCUCUUUGUCAAUCACCUUAAUUGCCACACUUUGAUACGUUCUGAUACUCCUUGCAUAAUAAACCUUUGCAAAGGUGCCUUGGCCAAGCAAUCUCCCUAUCUCAUAUUUUUGUGUCAAGAUACUGGGUUUAUUUUCCAUCACAGGCCAAAAAUGCAAAUUCAAUAAUCUCAACUAUUCUAUCCCACCAAUACGCUACAUAUAUAAUCCACAAAACACAAGAGUUACGCACAGUAGAAGCAGCUCAACCGUCUUCACAUAGAUCACGCAUUAACAAAACAGGAAAUUUGUAAAGAGUUGCAGGCUCAUAUUGCUCUUCAGCAGAACAUGCGAAUGAGGAAGUACAAUCUAAGAAUCUAGUCUCAUCAAGGACAACAAAAGGCAAGUCUUGCAAUGCCACUAACUUAUGGGCAUCAGUGACAGAGUUCCAAACAUUCAGGCACAUCAUGCAGCAUUCCCUAGGUUCCCCCUUUCAAAGUAGAACUCAAGAAAGCUGUAAUGAACUUGCUGAGCGAUUAACUUGAGGAACUUCAACAGAAUAUCCGUAUAAUAAUCGCAAAUUGGGUUUAUAACCUUUUAUUGAUCGUAGUUGGCUGCUGUGGAUCCAAGACCAGAACGAAGAAUAUGAUCGAGACAGCUAACUCUUGUUUUCCUUUAUAUUUUUUUCUCUCUGGUUUGUGGGGUUCUUUUGUUAAUCGAAACAGAAACAGAAACAGAAACAGCAAAUGAGAAAAAGAAGCUUUUUUUUUUUUUUUGAAAGAACUGAAAU
Molecule: unclassified non-coding RNA, 2250 nt
Filed under: Hevea brasiliensis (rubber tree)
Lineage: Eukaryota; Viridiplantae; Streptophyta; Magnoliopsida; Malpighiales; Euphorbiaceae
Source: RNAcentral